This 441-nucleotide ribosomal RNA is filed under the name uncultured bacterium. RNAcentral describes it as "partial 16S ribosomal RNA". It matches the Rfam family "Bacterial small subunit ribosomal RNA", at positions 339 to 795 of the family's 1533-position model. The record is from RNAcentral.
CUACGGGUCGCACCAGUGGGGAAUAUUGGGCAAUGGGCGCAAGCCUGACCCAGCAACGCCGCGUGAGGGAAGAAGGUUUUCGGAUUGUAAACCUCUGUCCUUGGGGACGAAGAAGUGACGGUACCCAAGGAGGAAGCUCCGGCUAACUACGUACCAGCAGCCGCGGUAAUACGUAUGGAGCAAGCGUUGUCCGGAAUUACUGGGCGUAAAGGGUGCGUAGGCGGCAUAUUAAGUCAGGUGUGAAAUACUCGGGCUCAACCCGAGGGGUGCAUUUGAAACUGAUAAGCUUGAGUGUGAGAGAGGAAAGUGGAAUUCCUAGUGUAGCGGUGGAAUGCGUAGAUAUUAGGAGGAACACCAGUGGCGAAGGCGACUUUCUGGCUCAUAACUGACGCUGAGGCACGAAAGCGUGGGGAGCAAACAGGAUUAGAUACCCCCGUAGUC